CAAGGCAGAGGCUACAGGAAACAGGAAGGAGGCCUGGAUUGAACAGGCCUAGUGGCCUGGCUCAGCAUCCCUGGAACAACCAGCUGCACAAGGCUGCCUCAAAACCAGCUGCUUCCCUGGCCUUCAUCCUCUGUAUCCUCAGCACGGAUGAACCCGCUGUCUCCAUCACCUGUGCACUUGCUCCCACGAUACAGCACCUGAACAAAUUUCAGAAGUCUGUGCCACCUGGGUCUGUUCGUACAGGGAAUAAUAUUCAUUCUACACACAGAUUAAUCCAAUGCUUUUUGUAUGGGCGAUGCUGGUCUAUUUUUGUAUGAAAACAUUGAAACUGGGCACAAACUCCAUCAACAAUGGAUAUCUUGUAUUCAAGAUUGACUUUGAACUUGCUAUUUGGUGGAGGAAAGCCUUGGACUUCUGGAUGCUAGAAUGACUGGCAUGUCUCACCGUGCAUGGUUUUGUGCAAGUUGAGGAUUGACUCCAGGGCUUUGUACAUGCUAGCAAGUACUCUACCAAGUUAUAUCCCCAGCUCAACUAGUCAAUUAUUUAUUAAAUGGUCCAUUAAAUAUAAGAUUAUCAACUCUAUUUUGUAAAUAAAACAAGAUACUG
Long non-coding RNA from Mesocricetus auratus (golden hamster), 606 nucleotides. RefSeq lists it as uncharacterized. Lineage: Eukaryota; Metazoa; Chordata; Mammalia; Rodentia; Cricetidae. The transcript is spliced from 4 exons. The record is from RefSeq and is a predicted model, not a curated record.